RNAcentral lists this ribosomal RNA (312 nucleotides) under uncultured Gluconacetobacter sp. RNAcentral describes it as "bacterial SSU rRNA". It matches the Rfam family "Bacterial small subunit ribosomal RNA", at positions 52 to 388 of the family's 1533-position model. The record is from RNAcentral. Lineage: Bacteria; Pseudomonadati; Pseudomonadota; Alphaproteobacteria; Acetobacterales; Acetobacteraceae.
CACAUGCCAGUCGCACGGGCAUCUUCGGGUGUCAGUGGCGGACGGGUGAGUAACGCGUACGUAUCUGUCCUUGGGUGGGGGAUAUCUGUGGGAAACUGCAGCUAAUACCGCAUGACACCUGUGGGUCAAAGGCGCGAGUCGCCUGGGGAGGAGCCUGCGUUCGAUUAGCUAGUUGGUGGGGUAAAGGCCUACCAAGGCGACGAUCGAUAGCUGGUCUGAGAGGAUGAUCAGCCACACUGGGACUGAGACACGGCCCAGACUCCUACGGGAGGCAGCAGUGGGGAAUAUUGGACAAUGGGGGCAACCCUGAUC